Molecule: ribosomal RNA, 530 nt
Filed under: uncultured bacterium
Lineage: Bacteria
Description: bacterial SSU rRNA
Rfam family: Bacterial small subunit ribosomal RNA
Source: RNAcentral
UGGGGAAUAUUGCACAGUGGGCGGAAGCCUGAUGCAGCGACGCCGCGUGGGGGAUGAAGGCCUUCGGGUUGUAAACUCCUUUCGACAGGGACGAAGCUUUUGUGACGGUACCUGUAUAAGAAGCACCGGCUAACUACGUGCCAGCAGCCGCGGUAAUACGUAGGGUGCGAGCGUUGUCCGGAAUUACUGGGCGUAAAGAGCUCGUAGGUGGUUUGUCGCGUCGUCUGUGAAAUUCCGGGGCUUAACUCCGGGCGUGCAGGCGAUACGGGCUGACUUGAGUGCUGUAGGGGAGACUGGAAUUCCUGGUGUAGCGGUGAAAUGCGCAGAUAUCAGGAGGAACACCGAUGGCGAAGGCAGGUCUCUGGGCAGUAACUGACGCUGAGGAGCGAAAGCAUGGGUAGCGAACAGGAUUAGAUACCCUGGUAGUCCAUGCCGUAAACGGUGGGCGCUAGGUGUAGGGGGCUUCCACGUCUUCUGUGCCGUAGCUAACGCAUUAAGCGCCCCGCCUGGGGAGUACGGCCGCAAGGCUA